ACUAAAGAAACUUUUUAGCCCCACACUAAUAGAAACAAAUAAUAGGAAAGAAAAAAAAUUUCACUUGUGCUCUAGCCCAACUAAAAAUCUAUUUCAAUCUGAAUUCCACUUUGGGCAAAUUAAACAAGCAUGCACUUAAUCAUUGAUUCUUUUAAUAAUGUUAUGCUAACAUAUGUCUCACGAAUUUCUAAAGGAGGAUCCGCUUUCUGAGUAGUAAAAGAAGUAGUCAGUGACUCAUCGCGAAUCUCAUCUAACACUUGAAUCACACAGUUCAUCUAUUUUGCGAACGACAGCGAAUUCAGCAAGACGACUCUUAUUUUUAUUUAUUUAUUAAAUUUUGUAAAUAAACUACGAAUCUCAUCUGACACUUGAAUCACACAAU
RNAcentral lists this long non-coding RNA (382 nucleotides) under Ananas comosus (pineapple). Its description in RNAcentral is "long non-coding RNA (ACOM_LNC035153)". The record is from RNAcentral. Lineage: Eukaryota; Viridiplantae; Streptophyta; Magnoliopsida; Poales; Bromeliaceae.